Heterocephalus glaber (naked mole-rat) is the source of this 413-nucleotide long non-coding RNA. The record is from Ensembl. Lineage: Eukaryota; Metazoa; Chordata; Mammalia; Rodentia; Bathyergidae.
GGAAGGCAAAUUUGACUUUGUGUUUUGUCGCUCUGGGGUAAAACAGGAAGGAUAGGGUCCCCUGAGCCAGGAUCGGUGACAGCUGCGGAUCUUGCCUCUCUCCGCGCUCAGAAAUGCAGUGCUCUGUCGCCACCUGGUGGGAGGAGCAGAUAAUACGAGGGGUGGCCCCUUCGGAUGCGACCACUCACCCUACCACAGAGAGAAUGUUCCCAUUCCAACCCAGAGGAAGAGGCAUCAAUGGCCUGCAUGGUGUUGUGGAACCCACAGUGACUCUCCAUACAGACUGUCCCUGAGAAACUGUCCAGAGGAAAGAAUGAGAGAAAACUUUAUGGCCUUGGAGUAGGCAGCAAUUACAAAAACAACUAAUCAUAAAAAGAAAAAAAAAGACAGUAUUAAAAAAAUGAAAAGGUAAG